Molecule: non-coding RNA, 232 nt
Organism: Pelobates cultripes (western spadefoot toad)
Lineage: Eukaryota; Metazoa; Chordata; Amphibia; Anura; Pelobatidae
Source: the annotation of a GenBank genome assembly
GUCCGUACCCUCCAACGAUUCCCCUAGGUCUGCUUCCCAAAGGUCAGUAUACCGGAGCUCUCCCCACUCAUUGGACUCUACACUAAGGUGAUUAUAUAAUGAGGAGAUCUCUUGGAGGCAUAUUUUCUCAAACCAGAUAAGUGGGAUUGCGGCUGUCUCUUUAACUUCUUUGUUGACCGCGAAAUCCCGUAUCUGGAUAUAGCGAAAUAAAUCCUUGGUGGUUAGAUGUGAG